UGUUGAGCAGAUUUAAAGCCA
RNAcentral lists this non-coding RNA (21 nucleotides) under Arabidopsis thaliana (thale cress). The record is from RNAcentral. Lineage: Eukaryota; Viridiplantae; Streptophyta; Magnoliopsida; Brassicales; Brassicaceae.